GUGUGAAGGAGGAGAGCUGUUCCACUCUACAUAGAUUCCUAAAGCCAGGAGCGACCGUGGCUGCUGGAUUGCAGAUCUGGAUUCUGGACUCCAGGUCUGAGCAGGACUUGGCUUUCAUUCCUACUAUUACACCAGGACAACAACGACGAGGAGAGAGAGAGAGGGGCAACAGGUAGAGGAAGCUGAACCAGCUGCUGCAAGGCCGCGGAGCUGAAGAGACUGGUGGUGUUCCUGUGGGUGCUGUGACCUUGUGACCUGCUACUGCCCCAUAUUCAGAUUUCACAACAAGACUUCUCCUUGAGCGGGACAUGGACACAAUAACAAAUAAACAGAAUCAAGUGAAAGGGACGGAGGGACGGAGGGACGAUUCAAUGUUCCACCCUGAAGCCACUGGUUGUGAGCAAGAGGGAACUCAACAAUUUGAACUGCCAAGAAGCUCCUUUUCCCUCCACCGACCGACAUCCAACAUGAUUGACUGCUUUGCACAGCCCCUCCACUCCUCUGCAGCAGUGCAGCGUGGGAAAACGGCGGAGAAUCUUCAAUAACAGGUGUGCAAAGGAGAUGGGUUUCUGUAAUGGAAGUCAGAGCAUCAGAUCUAACUGACCAGCACUGAAGGGUUAUGAUGCUCACCCAACUCACGACAACAGUUGAUCUUCAAAGCAGGUGAAUCUACAGGGUCUCAAUUAGAGACAAGGAUGCUUUCCCUCUUUUGCAGCUCCUCUUUGUUAUUCAGUCUGAGAAAACAGGUGGAUUUGAACUUAACAUAUUCAGCAGUAAAUUAAAGACAUCACAGUUUGUGCAGUGUGUGUUCCACAGUAAAUUAAAGAUAUCACAGUUUGUGCAGUGCGUAUAUUUGUUUUGUGGCCAUCAGACAAAGACCCGAGCAUUUCAAAGCACUCCCUAGUACACUCUCGAUGUUUCAUCUGUCUGAAGUCCUUUCCUUGUACGAUCAAUAUAUUGUCAUGUGUCUUCCCAUCAAUAAUUUGACAAUAGGCUCAUGCUGUUGCUUCGGCAGAAGCUGACAACGUGACAUUUACUUGAACGAUGACACCUAAUGGUUUAUGUCGCCCCGCACUAUUUUGAUGGAUGGAACGCACGCUGCCGUCUCCAGCUUUGCAGUUAUAGCAUCUCUUCGUCUUAUUGUCUCAUAAGUCAUCAAGCUUUUGAAGGACUCUUGCCGUUGCUCUGAUGCCUCUGUGUAACUCUGCUGUAUUAGUGGUAGCUUUUAACAACGUUAAUAAAUAGUUAGGUUUUAGGUCUCAGUCCUCGAUUAAAUUUUCUUUCCUCCGAGGCUCGAUUUGUCUGUCGACCUGUCGCCUGUCUGACACAUGCAAACAUGAAAGCUGACAUGAAUGCACACCCACAUGUUCAUACUGCUUUCAUUGGCACAUACAUGCACACAUAGCUAUGUUCUUUCACUCAUCCCUCUCUUUGUCUCUCUUUUCCUUUGUUCACCCUCCUGCACCCUUUUAUCUCUGUCUUUUACUCCCUCUUUUGCUCUGU
Long non-coding RNA from Sebastes umbrosus (honeycomb rockfish), 1503 nucleotides. RefSeq lists it as uncharacterized. Lineage: Eukaryota; Metazoa; Chordata; Actinopteri; Perciformes; Sebastidae. The record is from RefSeq and is a predicted model, not a curated record. The transcript has 7 exons.